This 431-nucleotide ribosomal RNA is filed under the name uncultured bacterium. RNAcentral's name for it is "partial 16S ribosomal RNA". It matches the Rfam family "Bacterial small subunit ribosomal RNA", at positions 29 to 507 of the family's 1533-position model. The record is from RNAcentral.
AACGAACGCUGGCGGCAGGCUUAACACAUGCAAGUCGAACGCCCCGCAAGGGGCGUGGCAGACGGGUGAGUAACGCGUGGGAACAUACCCUUUUCUGCGGAAUAGCUCCGGGAAACUGGAAUUAAUACCGCAUACGCCCUACGGGGGAAAGAUUUAUCGGGGUAGGAUUGGCCCGCGUUGGAUUAGCUAGUUGGUAGGGUAAAGGCCUACCAAGGCGACGAUCCAUAGCUGGUCUGAGAGGAUGAUCAGCCACAUUGGGACUGAGACACGGCCCAAACUCCUACGGGAGGCAGCAGUGGGGAAUAUUGGACAAUGGGCGCAAGCCUGAUCCAGCCAUGCCGCGUGAGUGAUGAAGGCCUUAGGGUUGUAAAGCUCUUUCACCGAUGAAGAUAAUGACGGUAGUCGGAGAAGAAGCCCCGGCUAACUUCGUG